CUCCCAACCCCUGUGAACAUACCUUAAUGUUGCCUCGGCGGAUCAGCCCGCGCCCCGUAAAACGGGACGGCCCGCCAGAGGACCCAAACUCUAAUGUUUCUUAUUGUAACUUCUGAGUAAAACAAACAAAUAAAUCAAAACUUUCAACAACGGAUCUCUUGGUUCUGGCAUCGAUGAAGAACGCAGCAAAAUGCGAUAAGUAAUGUGAAUUGCAGAAUUCAGUGAAUCAUCGAAUCUUUGAACGCACAUUGCGCCCGCUGGUAUUCCGGCGGGCAUGCCUGUUCGAGCGUCAUUUCAACCCUCAAGCCCCCGGGUUGGUGUUGGGGAUCAGCUCUGCCCUUCUGGGCGGCGCCGCCCCCGAAAUACAUCGGCGGUCUCGCUGCAGCCUCCAUUGCGUAGUAGCUAACACCUCGCAACUGGAACGCGGCGCGGCCAUGCCGUAAAACCCCAACUUCUGAAUGUUGACCUCGGAUCAGGUAGGAAUACCCGCUGAACUUAAGCAUAUCAAUAAGCGGAGGAAAAGAAACCAACAGGGAUUGCCCUAGUAACGGCGAGUGAAGCGGCAACAGCUCAAAUUUGAAAUCUGGCUUUCGGGCCCGAGUUGUAAUUUGUAGAGGAUACUUUUGAUGCGGUGCCUUCCGAGUUCCCUGGAUCGGGACGCCAUAGAGGGUGAGAGCCCCGUCUGGUUGGAUGCCAAAUCUCUGUAAAGUUCCUUCGACGAGUCGAGUAGUUUGGGAAUGCUGCUCUAAAUGGGAGGUAUAUGUCUUCUAAAGCUAAAUAUUGGCCAGAGACCGAUAGCGCACAAGUAGAGUGAUCGAAAGAUGAAAAGCACUUUGAAAAGAGAGUUAAAAAGUACGUGAAAUUGUUGAAAGGGAAGCGUUUAUGACCAGACUUGGACUUGGUUAAUCAUCUGGGGUUCUCCCCAGUGCACUUUUCCAGUUCAGGCCA
This 948-nucleotide ribosomal RNA is filed under the name uncultured fungus. Its description in RNAcentral is "eukaryotic LSU rRNA". The stretch from base 463 to 948 matches the Rfam family "Eukaryotic large subunit ribosomal RNA", at positions 1 to 498 of the family's 3401-position model. Lineage: Eukaryota; Fungi. The record is from RNAcentral.